UGGAAGUUGUACUUGUGUCUUUAGAAAAGACAGCAAAAUAGCAAUUCCCACAGCCAAUGGAAGGGCACCCCUGGACUUCAGGCAGGUGUUGGUGAUGGGCACAACUUCAUUGUGACCUAUCUGCAUGCAAUAUGGCAUCAAUCCUACUUCUGAACUUGAACCUGAAAUUGAACUGGAAGUAGAAUGAAUGUCUCGGAGUCCUGCGGCACAGACCUUGAAAUGGAAAUUUCUACUGCAGAGAAAUGAGGCAUUACAAACCAGGGAACUUGGACAGAUUCACCAGUUCUCAGUUAGGGUUUUCAUAAAAACACAGGAUUUGUCAUUCUGUAUUGGACCAUCAGUCUGUUAAUUUGCUGUACUGCUAAAAGUGGCAACCAAUAAGUGAUGAUUCAGAGAAGGUGAAAACAACCCACAAUUCUUUUGGUCACUUAUGCAAUGCUUCAGAGUCAAAUUUCUUCCUACUCCCUCAUGGAAUUAGCUACUGUUAAUGAUUUUCUCUUUGUGUAAAGCUAGUGAGCACAAGUCCAUUUUAUUGAUCUCCAGAAGAAAGCAAUAAAUCCACUGGAAUGAAAACUAAAUUCCAACAGUUUUUUUGUUCUGUCAACUGGGAAUUACAAGAUUUAGGUUGGAUUCUCAGUUGAUACAAAUCAUAGUGCAUCACUCAAGUCAACAGUCAUCCUAG
Molecule: long non-coding RNA, 682 nt
Organism: Gavialis gangeticus (Gharial)
Lineage: Eukaryota; Metazoa; Chordata; Crocodylia; Gavialidae
Exons: 3
Source: RefSeq, a predicted model, not a curated record